GCAAUUUCUUAUGUAGAAAAUGGUAGAUUGAACCUGGUUUUAAAGCGAUAAAUCUCUCAUUAUAUUGACAACGAUGCGUGAACAAAACAAACAGACAUAAUGGGUAAAAAAGUCAAGAUUAGGGGAACAGCUGUCAACAUUAUGUUACAAUCCUAAUCACAAUAAAAACAAACAAAUAUUAAACAAAGAAGCACAAAAAGGCAUAUAUCAAGUUUAACAGCCUUAUUCAUUGAUUUUUUAUUUUUGUAUUUUAUUUAUGUAUGUUAAAUCCACCCAUAAAGGAUUGAAAUAUUUUAAGUACUGAUACCGAAUUGUUAGAUAAACAUUGACUCUGACGUAUAAUCGCGCGUUUUACGUCAGAAUGUACAGAUUGAUCGUUCAAGGUAUAAAAAAAAAUAUAGUCUAUAGUUCGUUUAGGUAUAUCCUCUGCAGAAUGUAAAUUAGAAGUUUACAGUUUCCUUCUUGCCGUUGUCUAUAUGCUUAUUCUGUAUUUCUCCUUAAACAAAAAGAAGAGCCACGUCAUUAUGUAUCAAAGAAACACAAAAGGGCAUAUAGACAAAGCAUUAGCAAAUAUGAAAGACAAGAACACAAAUAUCAUAGUAAAACAAUGACACAAUGGCGGGAUGUAUAAAUACAGUGCCACGCCAUAUGUAUCUAAGAAACAAAAAAAGUGACACGGACAAAUCACAUAAGCAAACAUGCAAGAUAAUACAAACAACGCAAUAACUGGAUGCAUAAGUACAGAGCCACGUCAAAUAGAUAUCACCAAAAACAGACCAAACAGUAAAAGUAAAUAUAUUAAUCAAGACAAAUAAACGAACAC
This 823-nucleotide long non-coding RNA is filed under the name Mytilus galloprovincialis (Mediterranean mussel). The record is from RNAcentral. Lineage: Eukaryota; Metazoa; Mollusca; Bivalvia; Mytilida; Mytilidae.